AUUGAACGCUGGCGGCAGGCCUAACACAUGCAAGUCGAACGGUAACAGGAAGAAGCUUGCUUCUUUGCUGACGAGUGGCGGACGGGUGAGUAAUGUCUGGGAAACUGCCUGAUGGAGGGGGAUAACUACUGGAAACGGUAGCUAAUACCGCAUAAUGUCGCAAGACCAAAGAGGGGGACCUUCGGGCCUCUUGCCAUCGGAUGUGCCCAGAUGGGAUUAGCAAGUAGGUGGGUAACGGCUCACCUCGGCGACGAUCCCUAGCUGGUCUGAGAGGAUGACCAGCCACACUGGAACUGAGACACGGUCCAGACUCCUACGGGAGGCAGCAGUGGGGAAUAUUGCACAAUGGGCGCAAGCCUGAUGCAGCUAUGCCGCGUGUAUGAAGAAGGCCUUCGGGUUGUAAAGUACUUUCAGCGGGGAGGAAGGGAGUAAAGUUAAUACCUUGGCUCAUUGACGUUACCCGAAGAAGAAGCACCGGCUAACUCCGUG
RNAcentral lists this ribosomal RNA (489 nucleotides) under uncultured bacterium. Its description in RNAcentral is "partial 16S ribosomal RNA". It matches the Rfam family "Bacterial small subunit ribosomal RNA", at positions 30 to 507 of the family's 1533-position model. The record is from RNAcentral.